AUGUUGAGAUUUGAAAAAAAAAAUGUUUUUGUUAUUUGCUCUCCAAAGGAAACGUCAAAUGACCACCAUCACUAUGCUGUUCCUGUAACUAUUUGGUCUUUCAAAUUCAUAUGCAUUAAAGUCAGUGCAACUAAUCUAAGUCCUAAAUUACUUCCCAUUUACAGGAUGCAGUUUUACAAAACCAGAGGUAGCCGUCAAGUUGGAGCAAUGAAAAGGUCCAUUGUUGUUAGAGGAAGAAUUUCCAAGCAGGAGACAUGCAGUGUGGAGCGGUGUGAAACCUCAGAGGAUACAUGAAUAGGUCCAUAAACCUUCUCACACUGUCACCCUGGAAAUGGAACUCCAUAUG
RNAcentral lists this long non-coding RNA (346 nucleotides) under Sus scrofa (pig). Its description in RNAcentral is "lncRNA (ENSSSCG00040022173.1)". Lineage: Eukaryota; Metazoa; Chordata; Mammalia; Artiodactyla; Suidae. The record is from RNAcentral.